UGCCCCAGUUCAUCAAACUCAUUUAUGGUGCACAUUGCGUUGCAUAGAACCAGCUUUUACCACAUAAACUGAGAUUCCUUCCACACUCCCUUUUAACAAAGGAUUCGCAUUCUACUGUUUUUUUAAAAAAAAAAACAGUAGAAUGCGAAUCCUUAGUUAAUAGGGUAAAUUUGAACAUAGUAUAAGAUCUUUUGGUCUCAACUCUCAAUGCCCUUGGAAAGACAACCAAUAGAUACAAAGUUCAGUCUCUUUUGCCAACCAGAAUUGCCCUGCAGGUGAACUGCUAAAUUCGUAGCUGGUAACUACAAAGAGUAUGAAGUCAAAAAACAGAAAAAGUUGAUGCCUUGAGAGAAAAUAAAUAACAUCACGCAAGCUAUCAUAAUCACCACCUCCGUACUAAUGAUGUGAGCAACUCAAAUAGUUCAAAGGGACUACCACUCCGGUAUACAUCAUCCUUCUUACUCUCAUUAUUAGGAAGAAUGGUCGAUAAUAGUGCUCUCCAUCCAAUAAGUAAAACAGUAGUGCUUCCCAUUGUUACUAAGAUAAAAGUAUACGGCGGAAUGUGUCCUGAUGUUACUGCCCUUAUGACUAAUCCCAGUGGAAUCCCCAGAGCCCAUGAUUUAAGGGCAGCAAUAACUGCUUUAGAAACACCAUUCAUUCCACGGCCAUCUUCUCCAUAACCCCCAAGGAAGUAAGCGCCCAAAAACCAACCAGCAAUAAAAGGGUCAGCAGUGCGCAGCGUCUCAAAGUCAAAAACAGAGAAGCCAUGGCUAAAUCUCCCAAUUGCAGAGAACAAAAGCAAAGCCAAUACAUCUCCACCAGAAAAUAAAGCCACUCGACCCCAUUUGUCCAGACGUGAAGAAGAGGUGGGCUUCUCGAACUGGAUGACGCCUUCCAAAGGAACAUUAUCUGGACCCACGAAAACAGGGUCGUCCCUGCUAAAAGGGGGAGGAGGAGGAGCUGAAUUGUUGUUAGAAAGAGGUUGCUUGGUUGCAGAGGUAGAAUCUACACCUCCAUCAACCUUAGCGAGAUUGGGAUAAAAGGGUGGUCUCUUGGAUAUGAAUUUUGGUCCAGUGAUGUUAGAGAAAAGAGGUGGAUUUUUGUGGGUGAAUUGAAGAGGGGAUAUGCGAGUACAUCUUCUGGCUGACAGAGCUCCUCCCGGACCUUGGCUUACCAACAGCAUUUUUCCUCAAUUCCCAAUUGUUUUCUCGAUUCCUUAUUAAAUCUUUUCUUUAUUUUUUUUCAAGUUUCUUGGUUGUGCGGUCUUAUUAUGACUCUCUCUUUG
RNAcentral lists this unclassified non-coding RNA (1285 nucleotides) under Hevea brasiliensis (rubber tree). The record is from RNAcentral. Lineage: Eukaryota; Viridiplantae; Streptophyta; Magnoliopsida; Malpighiales; Euphorbiaceae.